This 396-nucleotide ribosomal RNA is filed under the name uncultured bacterium. Its description in RNAcentral is "partial 16S ribosomal RNA". It matches the Rfam family "Bacterial small subunit ribosomal RNA", at positions 523 to 918 of the family's 1533-position model. The record is from RNAcentral.
AUACGUAGGGGGCAAGCGUUAUCCGGAUUUACUGGGUGUAAAGGGAGCGUAGACGGCGAAGCAAGUCUGAAGUGGAAGGACGGGGCCCAACCCCGGAACUGCUUUGGAAACUGUUUGGCUGGAGUGCGGGAGGGGUAAGCGGAAUUCCUAGUGUAGCGGUGAAAUGCGUAGAUAUUAGGAGGAACACCGGUGGCGAAGGCGGCUUACUGGACCGUAACUGACGUUGAGGCUCGAAGGCGUGGGGAGCAAACAGGAUUAGAUACCCUGGUAGUCCACGCGGUAAACGAUGAUCACUAGGUGUCCGUGGGUAUGACCCAUGGGUGCCGCAGCCAACGCAAUAAGUGAUCCACCUGGGGAGUACGUUCGCAAGAAUGAAACUUAAAGGAAUUGACGGGG